Molecule: long non-coding RNA, 516 nt
Organism: Armigeres subalbatus
Lineage: Eukaryota; Metazoa; Arthropoda; Insecta; Diptera; Culicidae
Exons: 3
Source: RefSeq, a predicted model, not a curated record
CAUGGAGAGUGUUUAUCAUGACAAGUGCAUACGGUGGGUAAGAUUUUAAUGACUCUGUCGUGUUUAGUGACUGUUGCGAUUACCUGAGAAGCAGCCAGCAGGACGCCGCAGUAUUCUAUAUUUUCUCGAGAUGCAUAAUAUAUAUUCCACUAUCUAUAAUUGAAACUGUAUUGAGCAGGAAGUGUCGUUUUAAUUACUGUUAGUGGUGCUGGGCAAACGGUGAUCGCUUCUGAAUCGAGAAAUCAAGCUUGAUGAAAUACUGCUGCUCGCUGCCUUCACUGGUUCAAGCUCGUUCAGCGGCUAUCAUUGGCAAAUCUUACCAACGGGAUGUAAUAAGAACUGAUGCAGGUUUAUAUCUAUAUGUAUGUGUUCAAGAAUAACUUCGAUCCACCCAUGCAAGGAAAAAUAAGUCAUAGGAGAUAAAUCAAAUUCCCUUCUCUAAUAGCAGCAGUUUCGGCGUGGUUAGCGAGUAUAGCGGGCUGCGUCAUUAUAACGUCAAAUAACAGCAAAGCGAGU